This is a long non-coding RNA of Lathyrus oleraceus (garden pea), 1012 nucleotides long. RefSeq lists it as uncharacterized. The record is from RefSeq and is a predicted model, not a curated record. The transcript has 2 exons. NCBI's taxonomy places the organism in Eukaryota, Viridiplantae, Streptophyta, Magnoliopsida, Fabales, Fabaceae.
CUGAAAAAGUCAGAAACAAUAAUUGAGCAAAAGAAUAAUUAAGAUUAACAAGAUAAAUUAAAAUGGGAUUAGGUAAAACACAUGAAUUAAGCAAAUGAGGUGUGGGAAUUGAUGGAGGGUGUGGACAAGGAAAUUGCUUGGGCCUGAGCCCAAGCUCCAUAUCCAUAACCCGUGUUCAAUGGUUAAAGUCUUCAGAGAACCAAAAUCCGUUUCCAUGAGCGUUCAAGAAUCCCAUCUUCAUGUAUCCAAGCUAACGCACCACAACAUCAUCGAAAUGGUUCCAACAUUCAAAACGAAGUCUCGCUUCAAUAUAAAUUGCGUAUCCCAUUUUUGAAUCUCAUAUGAACAACGAGGGCAAGAACGAAGCUGUGAAUUCAUCGCCGAAAUCGAAACCAACAGAGGUUUCUUCUUGCGCGUUAAUGAAAGUAGACGAAGGGAGAAAUUUACCGAACUAUUUUGACGCGGUGGCUCCGGGUAAUCUUCUUCUUCACGCCUUCAAUUUGUUUGUAUUGCUUCUGUUGCGUGCCGCUGUGAAUCGUAGUCGUGGUUCUGAAUUUCGUCUGCUAUGCAUGUUGUUGUUUGAAGUUGAAGAUGAAGUUUUUUUCAUACUUGUGCGUUGAGAUGAACUGGUAUGCAUCGUCGACUUCUCGCCGAAGGCGAGGGUAAUGCACACAUGUGAUGGAUCGAUCGAACAAGGCAAACCAAGAUGACGUACUUUGGAAGAAACAUGUUCAAAACAACAUUAAAGAUGAAGGAUACGAAGAUUCAAUUAAAUGGAUGGUUUGAGUUGUAAUAUGCUUUGAUUGGAUUUGGAUUAUUGUAUUGAAAUGUCAUGUUUGGAAUGAAAUUGUUUGUAAUUUUGUUAUAAAUUGGAAUAUGUAUGUUUGGGAUUGAAGGUAGUAAUUUUUGUAUUUUUGGAUUGAAAUUAUGGUUUGAAAUUUGGACGCGGAAAUUGACUGUUUAUGUAAUUGGAAUCUUGAAUGAUAUAUGAAAUAUGUGUGGAAGUUUUGAA